Molecule: ribosomal RNA, 215 nt
Filed under: uncultured bacterium
Lineage: Bacteria
Description: partial 16S ribosomal RNA
Rfam family: Bacterial small subunit ribosomal RNA
Source: RNAcentral
UACGGAGGGGGCUAGCGUUGUUCGGAAUUACUGGGCGUAAAGCGCACGUAGGCGGCUUUGUAAGUUAGAGGUGAAAGCCCAGGGCUUAACCCUGGAAUUGCCUUUAAGACUGCAUCGCUAGAAUCGUGGAGAGGUGAGUGGAAUUCCGAGUGUAGAGGUGAAAUUCGUAGAUAUUCGGAAAGAAACACCAGUGGCGAAGGCGACUCACUGGACAC